Molecule: ribosomal RNA, 446 nt
Filed under: uncultured bacterium
Lineage: Bacteria
Description: bacterial SSU rRNA
Rfam family: Bacterial small subunit ribosomal RNA
Source: RNAcentral
GAACGGCAGCACAGCAGUAGCAAUACUGUGGGUGGCGAGUGGCGGACGGGUGAGGAAUGCAUCGGAAUCUGCCUAUUUGUGGGGGAUAACGUAGGGAAACUUACGCUAAUACCGCAUACGACCUACGGGUGAAAGUGGGGGACCGCAAGGCCUCACGCAGAUAGAUGAGCCGAUGCCGGAUUAGCUAGUUGGCGGGGUAAAGGCCCACCAAGGCGACGAUCCGUAGCUGGUCUGAGAGGAUGAUCAGCCACACUGGAACUGAGACACGGUCCAGACUCCUACGGGAGGCAGCAGUGGGGAAUAUUGGACAAUGGGCGCAAGCCUGAUCCAGCCAUGCCGCGUGAGUGAAGAAGGCCUUCGGGUUGUAAAGCUCUUUUGUCCGGAAAGAAAAGCAUUCGGUUAAUAACCGGGUGUCAUGACGGUACCGGAAGAAUAAGCACCGGCUA